GCUGGGCAUUGUGGCGCAUGCCUGUAAUCCCAGCUACUUGGGAGGCUGAGACAGGAGAAUCACUUGAACCUGGGAGGCGGAGGCUGCAGUGAGCUGAGAUGGUGCCACUGCACUCCAGCCUGGGCAACAAAGUGAGACUCAGUCUCAA
Molecule: unclassified non-coding RNA, 148 nt
Organism: Macaca fascicularis (crab-eating macaque)
Lineage: Eukaryota; Metazoa; Chordata; Mammalia; Primates; Cercopithecidae
Rfam family: Metazoan signal recognition particle RNA
About the family: The signal recognition particle (SRP) is a universally conserved ribonucleoprotein.
Source: Ensembl